UUCAGUUUGCUGGUCCACAAUGCAUAUUUUGCACCCUGCCAACAGAGGCUACUGCAGUGCAUCUCCAAGCAAAGCAUAUAAGGGAUGCUGUUCAUUUUCGUGAUGGAGACGCAGAGAAAAUGGUGCUGGCAUGUUUUUGCAAGGACAUCCAACAAACUCACAGAUCACACACUCAUUGUCCCUUUUGCAAUUACCGGGUUUUUGCAAGAAUUUGGAGCUUCAGGAAACACCUCCUACAAAUUCACGGGAUUGAAUCAUCCAAGAAAAGAGAAACAACUCAAAAGGACAAUGCUGCCACUGAGAAAUCCGGUGAAAUAACACAAGAAACGGUUUCCCCGAAAGAGAAACCUUUUCCAUGUGUAUAUUGCCCUGUAUUCUUUACAACCUCUGCCAA
Long non-coding RNA from Pseudoliparis swirei, 394 nucleotides. RefSeq lists it as uncharacterized. The transcript is spliced from 4 exons. The record is from RefSeq and is a predicted model, not a curated record. Lineage: Eukaryota; Metazoa; Chordata; Actinopteri; Perciformes; Liparidae.